Molecule: ribosomal RNA, 516 nt
Filed under: uncultured bacterium
Lineage: Bacteria
Description: bacterial SSU rRNA
Rfam family: Bacterial small subunit ribosomal RNA
Source: RNAcentral
AGACGCUGGCGGCGUGCCUAAUACAUGCAAGUCGAACGGUCUUUCUAUGGAAGCUUGCUUCCACUGAGAAGAUAGUGGCGAACGGGUGAGUAACACGUGGGUAACCUGCCCAUAAGAGGGGGGAUAACAUCCGGAAACGGGUGCUAAUACCGCAUAGUUUUCUUGAUUGCAUGAUUGAGAAAGGAAAGACGGCCUUUGUGCUGUCGCUUAUGGAUGGACCCGCGGCGUAUUAGUUAGUUGGUGAGGUAACGGCUCACCAAGACGAUGAUACGUAGCCGACCUGAGAGGGUGAUCGGCCACAUUGGGACUGAGACACGGCCCAAACUCCUACGGGAGGCAGCAGUAGGGAAUCUUCCGCAAUGGACGAAAGUCUGACGGAGCAACGCCGCGUGAGUGAAGAAAGGGUUUUCGGAUCGUAAAACUCUGUUGUCAGAGAAGAACAAGUUGGAGAGUAACUGCUCCAGCCUUGACGGUAUCUGACCAGAAAGCCACGGCUAACUACGUGCCAGCCGCAGC